RNAcentral lists this ribosomal RNA (492 nucleotides) under Pristimantis frater (Meta robber frog). RNAcentral describes it as "partial large subunit ribosomal RNA". It matches the Rfam family "Bacterial large subunit ribosomal RNA", at positions 1923 to 2572 of the family's 2925-position model. The record is from RNAcentral. Lineage: Eukaryota; Metazoa; Chordata; Amphibia; Anura; Strabomantidae.
UUCAACGGCCGCAGUAUUCUAACUGUGCGAAGGUAGCGUAAUCACUUGUUUUCUAAAUAAAGACCAGUAUGAAAGGCAUCACGAGGAUUAAGCUGUCUCCUCUUUCCAAUCAGUGAACCUAAUCUCCCCGUGAAGAAGCGGGGAUUAAAAUAUAAGACGAGAAGACCCUGUGGAGCUUAAAACUUAUAACACCUGCCUAUUCUUAAUUACACCUCGGUACUUCACCCAAAAGGCAUCCUGAAUUAUACGUUUUUGGUUGGGGUGACCGCGGAGAAAAACUAAUCCUCCACAAUGAAAGGGGACCUCCCCUAAGCAAUAAGUUACAACUUUAUGCAUCAAAAAACUGACAUCAUCGACCCAAUAAAUUGAUCAAUGAACCAAGUUACCCCAGGGAUAACAGCACAAUCCGCUUUGAGAGCUCCUAUCGACAAGCGGGCUUAUGACCUCGAUGUUGGAUCGGGAUGUCCUAGUGGCGUAGCCGCUACUAAGGGU